UCCUUUUCUCAACUCUUUUACUUCUUUUUUAUUAUUAUAUGUUUAAUUAAAAAAGCUCUUUGUCAUAAUGCAGUAACAAAACUUUCAGAUUACCUGUAGUUUUCUUACUCCUUUUCUCAACUCUAUUACUUCUUUUUUAUUAUUAUAUGUUUAAUUAAAAAAGCUCUAUUAGUUAUAUUAUUUUUUAAAUUAACUUGUUGAGAUUUGUAUUAAUAGUUUUAUUGAUUUCUGUAUCUUCUGAUUAAUUAGGGAAGACUUAUUUAAUCUCAGAAUAUCCUCUAAUUAAUCAGGGAAAUGCUUAUUUAAUUCUGGGGAAACAUUUCACACUGCUGAAAUAGUUUCUGAAAUAAUUUCUUAGGACAGUGCCUAGCACGACUCAAGUAUAAUUAAUAUAUUACUUAAACUCAUAUCAUUAUAAUAUUUAUUUAAUAUUCAGUAUUAUUAAUUUGUCGUUAAGAAGUAAUUAUAUUACUGUUCUAGUUAUUAUAUUGAUUAUAAUAUUAUUAUUGAAGUUAUAUCAUUAUACAUUAUUAUUGUACUACUAAAUAUUAUUAUUGUUAUAUUAAUAUUUUUUUAAUAAUUAAAUAAUAUUGUUAUUAGUGUUUUACCAUUGUUCCCCAACAAUAAUUCUAUUACACCUAUUACAUUUUUCCUUCAAUCCUACUAUUAUUCAAUUAUUAUAUUCCUUUUGAAUUUACGGCAAUUUGACUUCUUCUAAAAAAGAAUAUUAAAUUAAUUAACGUAGAACAAUUACAAUUAACCUCUUUUUCUUCUUUUUUCUUUCUUAUGUGCAUUUUUAUUUUACUAAAAAAUCAUCAAAUUGAAUAAUAAUUAAAGGAAAAAGGUAAAAAGAUUAUUAUCUAUUUAAUGAAGGAUGGAUAAAACGUUUAAAUCACUUUUCUAAUACCUUUAUAUUUCUAAUAUAUUAUAUAGAUAUAUAUAAAUUAUAGAUUAUAGAUAAUUUGAAAUGAUAAUAGAUAUCAUAUGUAAUAUCUUUCAUUAAGUCUGCACAAAUCUCUAGAAAUAGCUGUAAAUUAGGUCAGCAUAUAGUGAAUUCAGCAAAUAAUAAAUAUUUUAUUUACAAUUAAUUAUAAUCGUCUUGCAUCUAUACCUUAGAAGAAUCAUCCAAUACAAAUACGACGUAAGGUUGUGCAUAAUGGACUUUUAUAAUUCGGUCUUUCUAAAAAAUUCACGUAUAGCAAAUACAAGGUAAGGUUGUGCAUAACAGACUUUUAUAAUUCAGUCUUUCUAAAAAAUCACGUAUAGCGAAAGUUUCAAUGCACCGGAUAUACUAGCAAGAGGACAGUGAUUUGUUCUUAUAAUUCAGUCUUUCUAAAAAAUCACGUAUAGCGAAAGUUCCAAUGCACCGGAUAUACUAGCAAGAGGACAGUGAUUUGUUCAGUGAAACUCGAUGACAAUGUUAUUUUCAGGCAAAUAGACAGCAAAACUGGCACAUACACAGACAUUUGCAGACUCUUGUGAGCUAUCUGCAAUUGGACAAAUCAACUUCGAAAGAGAAGUAUAUUUUUGUCUGUGGGUCUUUGAAACAAUUUAACUUAUCCCAAGACACAUAUUAGGAACCAGGCUCCUGAACAGUAAAGUAAAAAUUGAAGAGAAUAACAUGCAGAUUUUAUUAUGGAAAAUCCUUGCCCAAGGGAGUAAAAGAGUACGACCUAUAGUCUGAAGGAUUUCCACGACCAAUCUCCAGUAACUUCAACAAGUAAUGUUUCAUUUCAAACUACAACUCCGCAAUCGAAGGGACUAACUCUAGUACCUCAACUCAAUAAUUAACCUUGACGUUCUAACAACUCUCCAAGCUCUCCAUCAAGUCAAAGCUGCUUUGCUUCUUGUUACCACACGCCACAAACAAGAAGUCAAACCCACUUCUUGAUACUCAACCACACUAAGUCACAAAAUCUUCAACUCUAACAAUGAAUAGAAGCUAUUAAAAAUCCGUAAACAACUCCAACUACAAAGGUAUGAAACUAGAAACUACUACCAUGUAAUAGCUUGAGUAUGUCGAUGUCCCCAUUUCUUCGCCUUGUUCCAUUUUGCCUUGAGCUUGCUCGGAUCUGUGUGUUUGCAAAAGGUGCGGGUGAAUGAAUUCUUUUGACUAAUAGUUCAGUCCUGCUUCUUCUCAAUACAAUAUUGCCUUCCCAUUUAAAGGCAUUACUUUCCUGCGCAGGUCACACAACAUAAGUAAAGUGACCGAACACACAUCAACGCAUUGGCGGACUUCUUGGCGGACCACCCGAUACCCGAUGAUUGGGAAUUGACCGAUGAACACAAAGCUUGUUUAAGCGUCAAUAGAGACAUGAACUCAAACAUCAAUAAAGGCAUGAAUCAAAACAUCAAUAGAUACUUGUUUACCGUCUUUUUGGUACAGUUGAUUUUGUUCGUGAGUUAAGAGUACGCGUUACGAUCUAAACUUUCGAUUAGUAGUGAAUAUAUGAGAAAAUGUAAAUAACUUGAGAUGAAUACCAAACAAAUCAAAGAAAAAAGGGAGAGGAGCAAAUCUUAAGGGAAAAUGAAAAGUGCUUAGGAACCAAACUAAAGAUAUUUUAUUGUUUAUAAGAUAAGGAUAAGCAAAAAACAAAUCCUUUACAAUGCGGGAGAGAGCACCUAUAGUAUGGGAUUUAUAUAGUUUUGAUGAUCAACUUGUGAGAACCAAGUUUUUGUGUCUGUGAACCAGGUUCUUAUUGAUGGGGGAGACAGUACCUAUAGUAAUAGUACUCUCAUGAUAUUACAUUACAAUAUGGUAGUAAGUUUCUAGUUUCAUACCUUUGUAAUAGGAGUUGUUGUAACUUGUAAUAACAUCUAUUCAUCGUUAGAGAUGAAGAUUUUGUGACUUAUUAGAGUGGUUGAGUAUCAAGAAAUGGGUUCGACUACUUGUUUGUAACGUAUCGUAACAAGAUUUGUUUAUAUCUUG
RNAcentral lists this long non-coding RNA (2929 nucleotides) under Capsicum annuum. RNAcentral describes it as "long non-coding RNA (CANN_LNC005872)". Lineage: Eukaryota; Viridiplantae; Streptophyta; Magnoliopsida; Solanales; Solanaceae. The record is from RNAcentral.